CGAGAACGGGUUUAGUUUACUAAACUGUCAGCUAAGUGGCGCACGGGUGAGUAAUGUAUAGUUAACCUGCCCUCUAGAAAGGAAUAACAGUUGGAAACGACUGCUAAUGCCCUAUAUGCCCAUAAUACAUAAGUAUGCUGGGGAAACGCUUUAGUGCUAGAGGAUGGGACUGUAUGGUAUCAGAUAGUUGGUGAGGUAAUGGCUCACCAAGUCAAUGACGCCUAACUGGUUUGAGAGGAUGAUCAGUCACACUGGAACUGAGACACGGUCCAGACUCCUACGGGAGGCAGCAGUGGGGAAUAUUGCACAAUGGAGGAAACUCUGAUGCAGCAACGCCGCGUGGAGGAUGACACUUUUCGGAGCGUAAACUCCUUUUAUAUAGGAAGAUAAUGACGGUACUAUAUGAAUAAGCACCGGCUAACUCCGUGCCAGCAGCCGCGGUAAUACGGAGGGUGCAAGCGUUACUCGGAAUCACUGGGCGUAAAGAGCGUGUAGGCGGGUUAUUAAGUCAGAAGUGAAAUCCUAUGGCUCAACCAUAGAACUGCUUUUGAAACUGGUAACCUAGAGUAUGGGAGAGGUAGAUGGAAUUUCUGGUGUAGGGGUAAAAUCCGUAGAGAUCAGAAGGAAUACCGAUUGCGAAGG
This 642-nucleotide ribosomal RNA is filed under the name Halarcobacter bivalviorum. RNAcentral's name for it is "bacterial SSU rRNA". It matches the Rfam family "Bacterial small subunit ribosomal RNA", at positions 67 to 721 of the family's 1533-position model. The record is from RNAcentral. Lineage: Bacteria; Pseudomonadati; Campylobacterota; Epsilonproteobacteria; Campylobacterales; Arcobacteraceae.